AACCUGCCUCGCAGUGGGGAAUAACAGUUGGAAACGAUUGCUAAUACCGCAUAAUGCACCGAGAUCGCAUGGUCUUGAUGCCAAAGAUUUAUCGCUGUGAGAUGGCCUCGCGUCUGAUUAGCUAGUUGGUGAGGUAACGGCCCACCAAGGCGACGAUCAGUAGCCGGACUGAGAGGUUGAUCGGCCACAUUGGGACUGAGACACGGCCCAG
This 211-nucleotide ribosomal RNA is filed under the name uncultured bacterium. Its description in RNAcentral is "partial 16S ribosomal RNA". It matches the Rfam family "Bacterial small subunit ribosomal RNA", at positions 123 to 334 of the family's 1533-position model. The record is from RNAcentral.